This 1212-nucleotide long non-coding RNA is filed under the name Ficedula albicollis (Collared flycatcher). Its description in RNAcentral is "lncRNA (ENSFALG00000028395.1)". Lineage: Eukaryota; Metazoa; Chordata; Aves; Passeriformes; Muscicapidae. The record is from RNAcentral.
AUGCUGUGCUGGGACACCACUCAAUGGCUCCUGGGCUGCAGCAGUGGCAAGUGGCUGAAUGAAUGGGUGGCCAGGGGGCUGAGUGGGGACUGGCAGCUCCCCUGGCACCCAAAUCCUUUAAGAUCCCCCUGCCUUUGUCCCUGGUGGGCACAGGCUGGGAGCAGAAUUGCCCUUUUCACCUGGAACAGCCUCAAAUCUGCAGCCUGGGGCUGGGAAUUGUCAACCCACCCUGGAGCUGCCCCGUGGCAAAGGAGUCUGGGCUGCAGGGAAAUCAGAUUUACCCCCGGGGAAGAGCGGGAGGAGCAGGGGGGUGAGCCAGGGUUUGAUGCUCUGGAGAGAAAACUGGAGCUGCCAGGGGGCAGAGGGACCCAGAGGGGAGAGUUUCCUGUCUGGUUUGUGGGACUGAGUGCUGGCAGGAUGGGCAGAGGUGCCUGCAGGCUCUGGGGGCAGUGCAGGGUGUCCCCAGCUGUCCCUGUCCCCAGGCUGGCUGUGGGGACACUGAGGGGGGCACUUCAGGGAGCCAGGGGGGCACAGCCCAGAGCUGGGAUUCCUUUGAGCCCCAGGAAACUCAGGCUUUGGUUUCUGCUGCUUUUGUGGUGUACAGCCAUGGCUGAACAUCCCUGCCGGGCUCAGCCGCGGAUCUGGGGGCACUUCUCCAAACCCUGGGACAGCCACAGCUUUGGGGACACCUGUCAGAGCUUUGGGGACCACCUCCCACAGAUCUGGGGCAGUCACAGCUUUGGGGGCACCUCCCAGAACUCUGGGACAGUCACAGCUUUGGGGACACUUCCCAGAGCUCUGGGACAGUCACAGCUUUGGGGACACCUCCCCACAGAUCUGGGACAGUCACAGCUUUGGGGGCACCUCCCAGAACUCUGGGACAGUCACAGCUUUGGGGACACUUCCCAGAGCUCUGGGACAGUCACAGCUUUGGGGACACCUCCCACAGAUCUGGGGCAGUCACAGCUUUGGGGACACCUGUCAGAGCUCUGGGACCACCUCCCACAGAUCUGGGACAGUCACAGCUUUGGGGGCACCUCCCAGAACUCUGGGUCCCCCUCAGAAGGAGCAGAGCAGGGACAAGGGACAGCCACAGCUUUGGGGAUGUCCCUCAGAGCUCUGGGUCAAUCACAGAUUUGGGGACACCUCCCACAAUUCUGGGUCAGUCACAGCUUUGGGGACACUUCCCAGAGCUCUGGGUCCCCCUUGUGA